Molecule: ribosomal RNA, 253 nt
Filed under: uncultured bacterium
Lineage: Bacteria
Description: partial 16S ribosomal RNA
Rfam family: Bacterial small subunit ribosomal RNA
Source: RNAcentral
UACGUAGGGUGCAAGCGUUAUCCGGAAUUAUUGGGCGUAAAGAGCUCGUAGGCGGUUUGUCACGUCUGCUGUGAAAACUGAAGGCUCAACCUCCAGCCUGCAGUGGGUACGGGCAGACUAGAGUGCGGUAGGGGAGAUUGGAAUUCCUGGUGUAGCGGUGGAAUGCGCAGAUAUCAGGAGGAACACCGAUGGCGAAGGCAGAUCUCUGGGCCGUAACUGACGCUGAGGAGCGAAAGCAUGGGGAGCGAACAGG